AACGAACGCUGGCGGCAUGCCUAACACAUGCAAGUCGAACGAGACCUUCGGGUCUAGUGGCGCACGGGUGCGUAACGCGUGGGAACCUGCCCUUAGGUUCGGAAUAACUCCCCGAAAGGGGUGCUAAUACCGGAUAAUGUCUUCGGACCAAAGAUUUAUCGCCUUUGGAUGGGCCCGCGUUGGAUUAGCUAGUUGGUAGGGUAAAAGCCUACCAAGGCGACGAUCCAUAGCUGGUCUGAGAGGAUGAUCAGCCACACUGGGACUGAGACACGGCCCAGACUCCUACGGGAAGCAGCAGUGGGGAAUAUUGAACAAUGGGCGAAAGCCUGAUCCAGCAAUGCCGCGUGAGUGAUGAAGGCCUUAGGGUUGUAAAGCUCUUUUACCCGGGAUGAUAAUGACAGUACCGGGAGAAUAAGCUCCGGCUAACUCCGUG
This 433-nucleotide ribosomal RNA is filed under the name uncultured bacterium. RNAcentral describes it as "partial 16S ribosomal RNA". It matches the Rfam family "Bacterial small subunit ribosomal RNA", at positions 29 to 507 of the family's 1533-position model. The record is from RNAcentral.